RNAcentral lists this transfer RNA (73 nucleotides) under Bacillota bacterium. RNAcentral's name for it is "Firmicutes bacterium (marine metagenome) tRNA-Gly". It matches the Rfam family "tRNA". Rfam says of the family: Transfer RNA (tRNA) molecules are approximately 80 nucleotides in length. Their secondary structure includes four short double-helical elements and three loops (D, anti-codon, and T loops). Lineage: Bacteria; Bacillati; Bacillota. The record is from RNAcentral. RNAcentral also lists the same sequence under 2 other names.
GCGGGUGUAGCUCAGUUGGUAGAGCACUACGUUGCCAACGUAGUCGUCGCCGGUUCGAGUCCGGUCACCCGCU